Molecule: ribosomal RNA, 509 nt
Filed under: uncultured bacterium
Lineage: Bacteria
Description: bacterial SSU rRNA
Rfam family: Bacterial small subunit ribosomal RNA
Source: RNAcentral
GACGAACGCUGGCGGCGUGGAUUAGGCAUGCAAGUCGAACGGUAUCAUCCUUUCGGGGGUGAGAGAGUGGCGAACUGGUGAGUAACACGUAGGUUAUCUACCCUCAAGACGGGGACAACCCAGGGAAACUUGGGCUAAUACCGGAUGUGAGCAACUUUUAGUUGUUUGAAAGGUGGCGUAAGCUGUCGCCUGGGGAUGAGCCUGCGUCCUAUUAGUUAGUUGGUGAGGUAACGGCUCACCUAGGCAAUGAUAGGUAGGCGGCCUUAACGGGUGGUCGCCCACACUGGGAUUGAGAUACGGCCCAGACUCCUACGGGAGGCAGCAGUCGAGAAUAGUCUACAAUGGUCGGAAGACUGAUAGUGCGACGCCGCGUGAACGAUGAAUCCCUUCGGGGUGUAAAGUUCUUUUAUAUGUGAGCAGUGCUUCUUAUAUUAACAGUAUGGGGAGAGAGAUAUUAGCAUAUGAAUAAGCAACGGCUAACUCCGUGCCAGCAGCCGCGGUAAACUCGU